RNAcentral lists this small nucleolar RNA (84 nucleotides) under Macleaya cordata. RNAcentral describes it as "Small nucleolar RNA R38". It matches the Rfam family "Small nucleolar RNA R38". Rfam says of the family: snoR38 is a C/D box small nucleolar RNA conserved across yeast, human, Arabidopsis and rice. It is encoded in the intron of elongation factor-1 gamma in both pombe and cerevisiae. snoR38 guides the methylation of 2'-O-ribose sites in 28S rRNA. Lineage: Eukaryota; Viridiplantae; Streptophyta; Magnoliopsida; Ranunculales; Papaveraceae. The record is from Rfam by way of RNAcentral.
CAAUGUGGAUGAGGAGGAUUUGAAAUUAAUCAGUUAUCCCUGUCUGAAUAAGUAGUGCUGAUAUUUCUAAAGUCUGACACACUA